UGGGGAAUAUUGGGCAAUGGGCGCAAGCCUGACCCAGCAACGCCGCGUGAAGGAAGAAGGCUUUCGGGUUGUAAACUUCUUUUGUCAGGGACGAGUAGAAGACGGUACCUGACGAAUAAGCCACGGCUAACUACGUGCCAGCAGCCGCGGUAAUACGUAGGUGGCAAGCGUUGUCCGGAUUUACUGGGUGUAAAGGGCGUGUAGCCGGGAGGGCAAGUCAGAUGUGAAAUCCACGGGCUCAACUCGUGAACUGCAUUUGAAACUACUCUUCUUGAGUAUCGGAGAGGCAAUCGGAAUUCCUAGUGUAGCGGUGAAAUGCGUAGAUAUUAGGAGGAACACCAGUGGCGAAGGCGGAUUGCUGGACGACAACUGACGGUGAGACGCGAAAGCGUGGGGAGCAAACAGG
RNAcentral lists this ribosomal RNA (406 nucleotides) under uncultured bacterium. RNAcentral describes it as "bacterial SSU rRNA". It matches the Rfam family "Bacterial small subunit ribosomal RNA", at positions 355 to 776 of the family's 1533-position model. The record is from RNAcentral.